Molecule: non-coding RNA, 779 nt
Filed under: Dysdercus evanescens
Lineage: Eukaryota; Metazoa; Arthropoda; Insecta; Hemiptera; Pyrrhocoridae
Source: RNAcentral
ACUUAGUUUGAUUCUAACUAUUUAAAAUAGCUAAAAAAUGUCUUUACAUGUGAAUUUUUGUGAGGUUAAAAUAUUAUUCUUAAUGAAUUUAUUUUUUUUAUAUUCGCAGUUAAAAAUUUUAUUGGAAUAAAGUAUUUUAGUAUUAGUAAAUUUUGGUAGAAUAGUUAAAAAUUGUGCCAGCAAACGCGGUUAUACAAUUUAUUCUAGUUAUUUUUUUUAAAAAAUAUUUAAUUAUUUGUUUGGAAUUUAUUAUAAUAUUAUUAAGUGAAAUUUUAAUUUUUUAUUAAAUUCUUGGUAUAAUAUUAAAUAUGAAACUCAUAUUUUAAACUAGGAUUAGAUACCCUAUUAUUUUGAGCUUAAAAUUAAAAUUUUUUGGUAUUAAUAGUUAUAAUCUUUAAAUUAAAAGAUUUUGGCGGUAAUUUAAUCUAUUUAGAGGAAUCUGUUCUUUAAUCGAUAAUCCACGUUGGAUUUAACUUUAAUUUAAUUUGUAUAUCUCUGUCAUUAGAAUGUUUUAUUAGAAUUUAAUUUUCUUUAAUUAUUAUUAUAAAUAAUGUCAGGUCAAGGUGCAGUUAUAUUAAAGGUUGAAAUGGAUUACAUUUAAUGUUAUUUAUUGGAUCAUUAUUAUUAAAUAUUUUAUGUUAAAAAGGAUUUAAAAGUAAAUUAUAGUAUCUACUAUUUUUGAUUUAAGCACUAAAUUAUGCACAUAUCGCCCGUCACUCUCAUUAAAUUGAGAUAAGUCGUAACAAAGUAAUUCUAUUGGAAAGUGGGGUUGGAUUAUU